RNAcentral lists this ribosomal RNA (401 nucleotides) under Salmonella enterica subsp. enterica serovar Heidelberg. Its description in RNAcentral is "partial 23S ribosomal RNA". It matches the Rfam family "Bacterial large subunit ribosomal RNA", at positions 2542 to 2925 of the family's 2925-position model. The record is from RNAcentral. Lineage: Bacteria; Pseudomonadati; Pseudomonadota; Gammaproteobacteria; Enterobacterales; Enterobacteriaceae.
ACAUCCUGGGGCUGAAGUAGGUCCCAAGGGUAUGGCUGUUCGCCAUUUAAAGUGGUACGCGAGCUGGGUUUAGAACGUCGUGAGACAGUUCGGUCCCUAUCUGCCGUGGGCGCUGGAGAACUGAGGGGGGCUGCUCCUAGUACGAGAGGACCGGAGUGGACGCAUCACUGGUGUUCGGGUUGUCAUGCCAAUGGCACUGCCCGGUAGCUAAAUGCGGAAGAGAUAAGUGCUGAAAGCAUCUAAGCACGAAACUUGCCCCGAGAUGAGUUCUCCCUGAGACUUAAAGUCUCCUGAAGGAACGUUGAAGACGACGACGUUGAUAGGCCGGGUGUGUAAGCGCAGCGAUGCGUUGAGCUAACCGGUACUAAUGAACCGUGAGGCUUAACCUUACAACGCCGAAG